RNAcentral lists this ribosomal RNA (510 nucleotides) under uncultured bacterium. RNAcentral describes it as "bacterial SSU rRNA". It matches the Rfam family "Bacterial small subunit ribosomal RNA", at positions 28 to 524 of the family's 1533-position model. The record is from RNAcentral.
AGCGAACGCUGGCGGCGUGCUUAACACAUGCAAGUCGAGUGCGUAGCCCUUUGUAGCAAUACAGAGGGUGGGCGCACGGCGCACGGGUGAGUAACGCGUGGGUAACCUGCCCCUCGGUGGGGAAUAACCCCGCGAAAGCGGGGCUAAUUCCGCAUAACAUUCCGGGGACACAUGUUCUCGGACUCAAAGGAGUGAUUCGCCGGAGGAGGGGCCCGCGCCCGAUUAGCUUGUUGGUAGGUAACGGCCACCAAGGCUUUGAUCGGUAGCCGGUCUGAGAGGAUGGCCGGCCACACUGGAACUGAGACACGGUCCAGACUCCUACGGGAGGCAGCAGUGGGGAAUCUUGCGCAAUGGGCGAGAGCCUGACGCAGCAACGCCGCGUGGAGGAUGAAGGUCUUUGGAUUGUAAACUCCUGUCAGCGGGGAAAAAGGGAUUUGGCCUAAUACGCCAGAAACUUGAUUGUACCCGCAGAGGAAGCCCGGCUAACUCUGUGCCAGCAGCCGCGGUAAG